This 431-nucleotide RNase P RNA is filed under the name Pseudomonadota bacterium. RNAcentral describes it as "Proteobacteria bacterium RNase P RNA component class A". It matches the Rfam family "Bacterial RNase P class A". From Rfam's summary of the family: Ribonuclease P (RNase P) is a ubiquitous endoribonuclease, found in archaea, bacteria and eukarya as well as chloroplasts and mitochondria. Its best characterised activity is the generation of mature 5'-ends of tRNAs by cleaving the 5'-leader elements of precursor-tRNAs. Lineage: Bacteria; Pseudomonadati; Pseudomonadota. The record is from RNAcentral.
GGAGUCGACCAGACAACCGCCCGACCGCUCGAGCAGUCAUUUUAGGCCGAGCGACCGGGAGGAAAGUCCGGGCUCCAUUGGGCAGGGUGCCAGGUAACGCCUGGGGGGCGCGAGCCCACGGCCAGUGCCACAGAAAACAAACCGCCUGAUCACCUACCCCUGACACGCUGAGCAUUGCUUUCGGUGCGCCAGUGUUGGUGCCAGUGUGCCAAGGGUAGGUGGCCAGGUAAGGGUGAAAAGGUGCGGUAAGAGCGCACCGCGCCGGUGGUAACACCGGUGGCAGGGUAAACCCCACCCGGAGCAAGGCCAAAUAGGGGAACAAAGGUGUGGCCCGCACUGUUCCCGGGUAGGCUGCUUGAGGCGCGCGGCGACGUGCGCCCUAGAUGAAUGGUUGUCCACGACAGAACCCGGCUUAUCGGUCGACUCCCGCA